This 235-nucleotide ribosomal RNA is filed under the name uncultured bacterium. Its description in RNAcentral is "partial 16S ribosomal RNA". The record is from RNAcentral.
GAACUAGUGCUCUCAGCAUCAGCNAGCCUUAUNUGAUCAUGGCUCAAUGAGCGCGGGGUAANGCCUACNCACAUGCAAGUCGCCCCGGCGNCACAGAGGGAGCUGCUCCUGGGCUGGCGACGUGGCGCGACCGGGCUGACGGACUACCUCGGACACUACUCGCCGCGGGGGACACCCGACGGGACACCCNCCAAACCCCACCCACCCAGGGCCNCCCCCCNGGNGCCCAACCGCC